This 669-nucleotide ribosomal RNA is filed under the name uncultured bacterium. RNAcentral's name for it is "bacterial SSU rRNA". It matches the Rfam family "Bacterial small subunit ribosomal RNA", at positions 48 to 719 of the family's 1533-position model. The record is from RNAcentral.
CUUACACAUGCAGUCGAGGGGUAGAAGUCUUCGGACUUUGAGACCGGCGCACGGGUGCGUAACGCGUAUGCAAUCUACCUUUUACAGAGGGAUAGCCCAGAGAAAUUUGGAUUAAUACCUCAUAGUAUUACGACUCGGCAUCGAGAUGUAAUUAAAGUCACAACGGUAAAAGAUGAGCAUGCGUCCCAUUAGCUAGUUGGUAAGGUAACGGCUUACCAAGGCUACGAUGGGUAGGGGUCCUGAGAGGGAGAUCCCCCACACUGGUACUGAGACACGGACCAGACUCCUACGGGAGGCAGCAGUGAGGAAUAUUGGACAAUGGGCGCAAGCCUGAUCCAGCCAUGCCGCGUGCAGGAUGACGGUCCUAUGGAUUGUAAACUGCUUUUAUACAGGAAGAAACACCUCUACGAGUAGAGACUUGACGGUACUGUAAGAAUAAGGAUCGGCUAACUCCGUGCCAGCAGCCGCGGUAAUACGGAGGAUCCAAGCGUUAUCCGGAAUCAUUGGGUUUAAAGGGUCCGUAGGCGGUUUAGUAAGUCAGUGGUGAAAGCCCAUCGCUCAACGGUGGAACGGCCAUUGAUACUGCUAGACUUGAAUUAUUAGGAAGUAACUAGAAUAUGUAGUGUAGCGGUGAAAUGCUUAGAGAUUACAUGGAAUACCAAUUGCGAA